RNAcentral lists this ribosomal RNA (451 nucleotides) under uncultured bacterium. RNAcentral describes it as "bacterial SSU rRNA". It matches the Rfam family "Bacterial small subunit ribosomal RNA", at positions 29 to 523 of the family's 1533-position model. The record is from RNAcentral.
AACGAACGCUGGCGGCAGGCCUAACACAUGCAAGUCGAGCGCAGUCCUUCGGGACCGAGCGGCGGACGGGUUAGUAACGCGUGGGAACGUACCCUUUUCUAAGGAAUAGCCUCGGGAAACUGAGAGUAAUACCUUAUACGCCCUUAGGGGGAAAGAUUUAUCGGAGAAGGAUCGGCCCGCGUUAGAUUAGAUAGUUGGUGGGGUAAUGGCCUACCAAGUCUACGAUCUAUAGCUGGUUUUAGAGGAUGAUCAGCAACACUGGGACUGAGACACGGCCCAGACUCCUACGGGAGGCAGCAGUGGGGAAUCUUAGACAAUGGGCGCAAGCCUGAUCUAGCCAUGCCGCGUGAGUGAUGAAGGCCUUAGGGUCGUAAAGCUCUUUCGCCAGAGAUGAUAAUGACAGUAUCUGGUAAAGAAACCCCGGCUAACUCCGUGCCAGCAGCCGCGGUAA